GCUAAAUUGUGAAUGUUUAGAAAUUCAAAGUGAAUUUUAAAUUGUGGGUUUCAUUCAAAAUUUUAUAUCCAUGAUAUUCCUUCAAAAUCGAAUGUUUAGUGAAUCGCCCACCACAUAGCUUGUUCCAACAUGGAACAUUUUCCUUCAUAGGUGUCCUGAACAGAUCUGUCCAAAACAGGUGUUAUAUAAAGUUUAAACAGUCACAAAUGCUUUCCUACAUUUAC
Molecule: non-coding RNA, 224 nt
Organism: Pelobates cultripes (western spadefoot toad)
Lineage: Eukaryota; Metazoa; Chordata; Amphibia; Anura; Pelobatidae
Source: the annotation of a GenBank genome assembly